CUGUGUGCUUAGGUUUGUUGUCCUGUUGGAAGGUGAAGUUUCGCCCCAGUCUGAGGUCCUGAGCGCUCUGGAGCAGGUUUUCAUCAAGGAUCUCUCUGUACUUUGCUGGGUUCAUCUUUCCCUCGAUCCUGACUAGUCUCCCAGUUCCUGCCGCUGAAACACAGCAUGAUGCUGCCACCACCAUGCUUCACCGUAGGGAUGGUGCCAGGUUUCCUCCAGAUGUGAUGCUUGGCAUUCAGGCCAAAGAGUUCAAUCUUGGUUUCAUCAGACCAGAGAAUCUUGUUUCUCAUGGUCUGAGAGUCUUUAGGUGCCUUUUGGCAAACUGCAAGCGGGCUGUCAUGCCUUUUACGGAGGAGUGGUUUUUGUCAACUCUACCUUAAAAGGCCUGAUUGGUGGAGUGCUGCAGAGAUGGUUAUCUUUCUGGAAGGUUCUCCCAUCUCCACAGAGGAGCUCUGACAGAGACCAUUGGGUUUUUGGUCACCUCCCUGACCAAGGCCCUUCUCCCCCGAUUGCGCCGUUUGGCUGGGCAGCCAGCUCUAGGAAGAGUCUUGGUGGUUCCAAACUUCUUCCAUUUAAGAAUGAUGGAGGCCACUGUGUUCUUGGACCUUCAAUGCUGCAGAAAUGUUUUGUUACCCUUCCCCAGAUCUGUGCCUCGACACAAUCCUGUCUCUGAUCUCUACAGACAAUUCCUUCAACCUUGUGGCUUGGUUUUUGCUCUGACAUGCACCAUCAACUGUGGUACCUUAUCUAGACAGGUGUGUGCCUUUCCAAAUCAUGUCCAAUCCAUUGAAUUUACCACAGGUGGACUCCAAUCAAGUUGUAGAAACAUCUGAAUGAUGAUCAAUGGAAACAGGAUGCACCUGAGCUCAAUUUUGAGUCUCAUAGCAAAGGGUCUGAAUACUUAUGUAAAUAAGGUAUUUCUGUUUUGUUUUUAAUAAAUGUCUGAACCUGUUUUCACUCUGUCAUUAUGGGGUAUUGUCUGUAGAUUGAUGAGGGGAGAAACAUAUUUUAUCCAUUUGUAACGUGGGAAAGGAGAAGGUGUCUGAAUACUUUCCAAAUGCCCUGUAAAGGGAAUGACGACCCAGUUGAGAUGCGUUCUUUGUUUUUCCAGGUGGAAGUGAUUCAUUUUACAGGUUCAUUCUGUUGUGUUAUGGCAGCUUGUCCUGCUUGGCACUGACAUAACUGUACUGACAACAGCUAGUGCAUGUGUACAGGGUUCAUGUGAACAAAAUAAAUAAAACUUUGUUUUGAAAAUAUAUGAAAUAAAAAA
This 1270-nucleotide long non-coding RNA is filed under the name Salmo salar (Atlantic salmon). RNAcentral describes it as "lncRNA (ENSSSAG00000119756.1)". Lineage: Eukaryota; Metazoa; Chordata; Actinopteri; Salmoniformes; Salmonidae. The record is from RNAcentral.